This is a microRNA precursor of Chelydra serpentina (North American snapping turtle), 95 nucleotides long. The record is from Ensembl. Lineage: Eukaryota; Metazoa; Chordata; Testudines; Chelydridae.
UUUUGUCCUAGCAGUAUCAAAGUGCUCAUAGUGCAGGUAGUUUUUGAAUUGGAUCUACUGUAAUGUGGGCACUUAUAGUACUGCCAGAUAAAAUG